Long non-coding RNA from Hippocampus zosterae (dwarf seahorse), 924 nucleotides. RefSeq lists it as uncharacterized. NCBI's taxonomy places the organism in Eukaryota, Metazoa, Chordata, Actinopteri, Syngnathiformes, Syngnathidae. The transcript is spliced from 3 exons. The record is from RefSeq and is a predicted model, not a curated record.
GUACGAGCAGUGUUUCGGCUGGGAGCGGGUUAUCAAGACGAGCGGACAGCGAACGUGAAGGAGUACAAACUGGGAGUAAAGAGAGAACGAGUUCUAUCCAACGCGCCUCGUCUCGUUGAUUACAUGAUAAGAGAGACAACACACCGCCUUCAAAUUCAACAGCAGACGUGUUGCCUUGAUCCAUCUCAGGGCGGCCAUUUUGCCUCUUGCUGUCGACUGAAUAUGACAUCACACUCAGCUUGCGGACGUCACAUGACCAAACCCAAAACACAGCAGCACACCGCCUCUCUCAUCACUCCUCCUUCCUUCACUCUCGCCUUCCUCCUCUGCUGGAACGCACCGAAGCUCAUCAUCCGUUGUGGAUCCUACGCCGGCCGCCUGCAGCCCAAUCGCACGACGACCCCCCCCCCAAGCCCCCGCUUCCCCCCCUCCUCCCCACGGACGAGGUAAAACCAUGCUCAUCUUCACAUUUCGGCACUUUUGGGCGGGUCGGAGCAUUCGGUGCAUCCACACGGCGGAUCGGUCCGCUUCUUUCGAGUUGGUGGGGGUGCUUCGUUGGGUACUUGGGGGGGCUCUCCUGGCGGGGGUGGUGGGCGAAUGGGGGUGAUGUCUGCAUGGGUAUGCGUGUGCGAUGAAGACGCGCGGCGAGAAAUGGGUAAAAAGAAAGAUACACGUGCACGCGUUUCCCAUAUUGCGGCAUCGGUCAAGUGGAGGCGUGCGAGCGUGUGCGCCUUUUGAUUGACAGAUGAGGGAGGGGUGACGGGGCGGGGGCGCGUCCCCUUCAACUGACUUGAUUGAUUGGUUUCCGCGCACCCUCCUCUUCCUCACUGCGGGUCACAUGACCGGCAAGGCGCCGUCAGCUGCUUGUCGGAUGACUGAUGAACGGAGUUUUGGGGGGUUUGGCCGCUGAAGUUGUUUCACGGU